This is a long non-coding RNA of Macaca mulatta (Rhesus monkey), 1776 nucleotides long. Lineage: Eukaryota; Metazoa; Chordata; Mammalia; Primates; Cercopithecidae. The record is from Ensembl.
AGUGCCUGGGGAUCUGAAAGAGACGACUGACUGAGGUGGUUGAUGGGAUUCUUACAGCAACAAAGCACCAUCUUGGAAGCAGAGAGCCGCCCUCACCAGAACUGAAUGCAGGCACCAUGACCUUGAACUUCCCAGCCUCCGGACCUGUGAGAAAUAAAUUUCUGUUCUUUAUAACUUAGCCAGUCUCAGGUGUUUUGUCACUGCAACUCCAGUGUACUAAGUCACAGUCUCAGGAAGAAAGCAUGCGUUCCUCUUUUCUCCCAGUUAGUGCUGCCAGGACCUCCAGAACUCCGGAUGGAUUCCCCUGGCUGACACUUGAAAAGAUUUUUGCUCUAACUUAAUAGAUAGGACAGACUGGCAAAGCCAUAGUUAAAUCAGUUGGAGGAGCCACAAAUCAAAUCAUCUUCACAGAAGGGUACAAAGCUAACAAGUCCCAAUGUCCCUAGGGGGACUCUUGCUGAGGACACUUAGUGAUGAGACAUUGCUUGUUCAGGCUCAUACUCCCUUCUGGGAGAAACGCUAUACCAGGCUUCCAACUCCAUCUCAUCUCACACACGGAGGCUUCACCAUCCUGGCAACUUUACUGUGCUACCUUUGACCACAAAACAGAGGAACAGUGACAACGUGAGAUUCAAGACUCUGUGAGCUGGACAGCAGAUGGAGGCACACUGGGACGUAAUCCUGGCAGUUAAGAGACGUGUGAAUGGGCUGAUGGGGAAUGAUCUUUUUGUGAAGUUGUUGUUGGCAACACCUUGUGGCAGAAGAAACAGCUAAGUGAUGGUCCCCACAGCUGCCAUUCUCCAGUCUUGAAGUUGGUGGAUGACCUCCCUGUGACCGACCCCCUGUGGGCUAACAAUGUGGAAAACAGUAAUGGUCAAGAAACCCUCCCUGUCCUUUUGUGUUCCAGGCAGAGAGCCACCCAUCCCCAUGUGACUAAGAGAAGACUCAUGGAUGAGCUCCUUAAGAACCUAUGACAAAGCCAGACACAACCCCUCCUAGGGUCUGAAUGUUUGUGUCCUUCCAAAUUCGUAUGUUGAAAUCCUAAGCCCCGAGGUGAUGGUAUCAGGAAGUGGGUCCUUUGGGAGGUGGUUAGGUCAUAAGACUGGAGCUCUUAUGUAUGGAAUUAGAGAUCUGACAUUUUUAAAAGGCCCCCGAGAGUGGCUUUGCUCCUUAAGCCAUGUGAGGAUACAGCAAGAAGGUGCUGUCCAUGAGAAAGCUGGCCCUCACCAGACACCAAUCCUACAGAUGCCUUGAUCUUGGACUUCACAGCCUCCAGCACUAUGAGCAAUAAGUUUUUGUUGUUCUAAGCCACCUAGUCUAUGAUAUUAUCUUAUGGCAGCUUGAACAGACUAAGCCAACCCUCCAAAUUUUCAUUCUUUGGUUCUCACUGACUAAUCUGAACAAAUUGCUCAUCAACAUAACUUGUUAAAACUUAAUGAGGCUUCUCUCCUUCCCCCAGGCCAUUGAACUUUGUCUUGCCCCUGAGCUUAACCAAGCACUAAAACACAGAACAUCUCUCCUCAGUGAUCCUUCCCCGUUCAAAUUGUCUGUUCACACCACCUGCUCAUCCCACUCCCACACAGCCACUCCUCUCUAGGAUUCUCUAUGCCUCCGUAUAAAAAGAGAAACCCUUGGCCAGGCACAGUGGCUCACGCUUGUAAUCCCAACACUUUGGGAGGCCCAGGUGGGUGGAUCACCUGAGGUCAAGAGUUCGAGAGCAGCCUGGCCAACAAGGCGAAACCCUGUCUCUACUAAAAAUACAAAAAAAAAAAAAAA